RNAcentral lists this ribosomal RNA (222 nucleotides) under uncultured bacterium. Its description in RNAcentral is "partial 16S ribosomal RNA". It matches the Rfam family "Bacterial small subunit ribosomal RNA", at positions 111 to 334 of the family's 1533-position model. The record is from RNAcentral.
UAACACGUAGGAACCUAUCAUGCAGUGGGGGAUACCGUUGGGAAACCGGCGUUAAUACCGCAUGGGGUCACCGAGCAAUCGGUGAGCAAAGCCUCAAUUGAGGCGCUGGAUGAGGGGCCUGCGGCCGAUUAGCUGGUUGGUGGGGUAAGGGCCUACCAAGGCGACCAUCGGUAGCUGGUCUGAGAGGAUGGUCAGCCACACUGGGACUGAGACACGGCCCAG